CUGUGAAAAAUAAGGCACCCUUUCUCCUCUCUAAGUGGCCAAAAGGAAGGAAGGGGGCGUCCAAGAGUUGGACGCCCCAAAUCCCACAUGCCAAGCUCUCAUCUCAUGCCUGUUUGGAAGAAAUUUUUGAGAGCUUUGCUUGCUGAUUCUUAGGCAUUAAAGAGAGCCUCUCUUGCUAGUUUUACAGUAGAAAAAUAAGAAAGAAAGG
Molecule: long non-coding RNA, 208 nt
Filed under: Elaeis guineensis (African oil palm)
Lineage: Eukaryota; Viridiplantae; Streptophyta; Magnoliopsida; Arecales; Arecaceae
Description: long non-coding RNA (EGUI_LNC041802)
Source: RNAcentral